Molecule: ribosomal RNA, 497 nt
Filed under: uncultured bacterium
Lineage: Bacteria
Description: partial 16S ribosomal RNA
Rfam family: Bacterial small subunit ribosomal RNA
Source: RNAcentral
GACGAACGCUGGCGGCGUGCCUAACACAUGCAAGUAGAACGCUGAAGAGCGGCGCUUGCUGUUCUUGGAUGACUAACGGACGGGUGAGUCACGGGUGGGUAACCUGCCAUGUAGCGGGGGACAACGAUAAGAAAGGAUAACUAAUACCACAUGCCAAUGGUAGACCGAUGUUUGUUAUGUGAUAGCGGCAAAUGAUCAACUCCAGGACGGACAUCCGUUGUAUUAGCUAGUAGGUGAGGUAACGGCUCACCUAGGCGACGAUACAUAGGGGACCUGAGAGGGUGAUCGGCCACACUGGGACGGAGACAGGGCCCAGACGCCUACGGGAGGCAGCAGUAGGGAAUCGGCGGCAAUGGGGGCAACCCUGACCGAGCAACGCCGCGUGAGUGAAGAAGGUUUUCGGAUCGUAAAGCUCUGUUGUAAGUUAAGAACGAGUGUGAGAGUGGAAAGUGCACACUGUGACGGUAGCUUACCAGAAAGGGACGGCUAACUACGUG